GAUGAACGCUGGCGGCGUGCCUAACACAUGCAAGUCGAGCGAGAAACUUACAGAUGAAAUUACGAUGGAUUCAGUAGGCGGAAAGCGGCGGACGGGUGAGUAACGCGUAGGCAACCUGCCCCUUUCAGAGGGAUAGCCAUUGGAAACGGUGAUUAAUACCUCAUAAAGUCUUUUCUUCACAUGAAGGAGAAGCCAAAGAUUUAUCGGGAAGGGAUGGGCCUGCGUCUGAUUAGGUAGUUGGAGGGGUAACGGCCCACCAAGCCUACGAUCAGUAGCCGACCUGAGAGGGUAACCGGCCACAUUGGAACUGAGACACGGUCCAAACUCCUACGGGAGGCAGCAGUGGGGAAUAUUGCACAAUGGGCGAAAGCCUGAUGCAGCAACGCCGCGUGAAUGAUGAAGGCCCUAUGGGUCGUAAAGUUCUGAUCUGAGGGAAGAAACAAAUGACGGUACCUCAGGAGAAAGCCCCGGCUAACUACGUGCCAGCAGCCGCGGUAAUACGUAGGGGGCAAGCGUUAUCCGGAUUUAUUGGGCGUAAAGGGUGCGUAGGUGGCCUAUUAAGCGUGGGGUGAAAGGCAAUGGCUCAACCAUUGUGAGCCCCGCGAACUGAUGGGCUUGAGUGCAGGAGGGGAAAGCGGAACUCCCAGUGUAGCGGUGAAAUGCGUAGAUAUUGGGAAGAACACCGGUGGCGAAGGC
RNAcentral lists this ribosomal RNA (696 nucleotides) under uncultured Eubacteriales bacterium. RNAcentral's name for it is "bacterial SSU rRNA". It matches the Rfam family "Bacterial small subunit ribosomal RNA", at positions 28 to 722 of the family's 1533-position model. The record is from RNAcentral. Lineage: Bacteria; Bacillati; Bacillota; Clostridia; Eubacteriales.